RNAcentral lists this ribosomal RNA (168 nucleotides) under uncultured rumen bacterium. Its description in RNAcentral is "partial 16S ribosomal RNA". It matches the Rfam family "Bacterial small subunit ribosomal RNA", at positions 340 to 524 of the family's 1533-position model. The record is from RNAcentral.
UACGGGAGGCAGCAGUAGGGAAUUUUCGGCAAUGGGCGCAAGCCUGACGCAGCAACGCCGCGUGAAGGAUGAAGGUUUUCGGAUUGUAAACUUCUUUUAUCAGGGACGAACUUUGACGGUACCUGAUGAAUAAGCUCCGGCUAACUACGUGCCAGCAGCCGCGGUAAU